UGACAUAUUCAAACGUGAUUUAACGAGGCAAAAUUAAUUAAACUCCUAAAAGUAUGAUUUAUAAGAGAUUAAAAUAAAUCCUAAAUUAGGUUUGCCUAAGUGAUUUGCAUAAUACGUAAAGCACAUAAAUCCCUUCCCCCAAAACAGUCCCAUAAAUAUUAUUACAACAUAUCCUUUGUACAAUAAUCCUCACAGGCCAAUAUUAAAUGAAAUAAAAAAAAAAAAUACGAAGAGCUAGAUUGGAUAGCUCUUAACGACUACAUGCCAACUCUGUCUCGUCUAAAUACUUGUCCUUAACCUGUGAUAACAAAGAAAUAACCAAAACACAUUCCGAAUCUAGAAUACCUUUAGUGACACAUAACCAACCUUUGAUGCUGUCGAGAUCCUGGGGAUCCCAGGCAGGCUCAUGCCAAAGAAGCUAUGUGACGUGUAAAUAAUAUUUCAGAGUCACGUACAACAAGCAUGCUAAUGGAAAAGAACAUUUAGAAAAAGAAAAUAUGUCACAACUAAUAUGAAUACCCAAUAAGAGUCACGGAAAUACAAAAAAAAAAUAGGAGGUUCAUGUCGUCAAGCAUUUAAAGUAUGCAAAUCCAAGCAAAAAUCAAAACCACAUAGUAUAAAAGGAACUAAUGCAUCGUUGAAGAAAACUAACCGCUUUACAGCACAAUUACAAAAGAAGAUUGAACUUUCAAGAGUAGAUAAGAAGUCGUACGAGCAAACAAGAAUUAGCGAUCUCAAAGUAGAAGCAGCAAGCAAAAUUUAGCACUAAGUGUAGUGUAGAAUAGGGUAGAAGUCAGAGUACGAGUGUAAGAUAAGAGGUCUGACAAUUGAAAGAGAGGAUAUUUAUAUAGCAAAGGAGUAGAGAAAAUAAAAAGACAGAGAAUAUUUGCAAAUUCAAUCAAAUCAAUUAAAGAAAAAUAAACAGCUCCUAUUUACCUAAAUAAACAAGUCAGAAUAUUAUUUGAUCUUCAAGAGGCCAUCACUAGGUUUAGUGUAGAAGUGUAAGAUAAGAGGUCUGACAAUUGAAAGAGAGGAUAUUUAUAUAGCAAAAGUGUAGAGAAAAUAAAAGGAAAGAGAGUAUUUGCAAAUUCAAUCAAAUCAAUUAAAAAAACAUAAACAACUCCUAUUUACCUUAAUAAACAAGUCAGAAUAUUAUUUGAUCUUCAAGAGGCCAUAAAAAUAGGGAUACCAAUGGAUACUUCCCAUGUUAAGAAACGUAAUCACAUCAAAUUAGCACAGAAUAGAUCCAAUUAUAAUUGGGGGUAAACAUCUAUUUGUAUCAAAACUCCACAUGCUUAGCAAGCAAAAAUCACAAUACACCCAAAGAACUACUAUACUGUUGUAAUUGCGCUAGUAAUCCAAUUAACCGGUUCAAAUUUUCGGAGUCAAAAUUAUGACAGUAGACAAUGAAAUUGCAUUCCUAAAAUGAAAUCUAGGAUUAAUGAAAAAUUCAAAAUUUGUCAUUUUACAUAAAACAAACGUGAAACCAGAAAAACAGACCAACAAUAAAACCAUAAAUUUUAAGUUUAAAGAAAAGAGUAGCAGAAGAGAAUUAUAAUUGCAUGUAAAAAAUUAAAUACGAAAUCCAACCUAGGAUGGGUUCCUAAGAACCCAUCAUUUUUUCGAUGAGUUGUGGUGGCAGUGUCAUGGGAUGCACAGAGAGACAGCAAUGGUGGCUACAAUGAGAACGAAGGUUGGUUCAUGGGUAGCCGCUGGUUUGCAUGGCUGGUUUGAGGUGCCACGGCGACGGCUGGAGCUACGGAGCUCGGUUUUGAUGUCUUUUGAUACGAGCAGCGGCAAUGGUGAGAUCCGGCUAUCAUUAACAGUUCUUUACUGGUCAUCACCUACGAUGAAGCAGCAAUGAUGGGAGGCGACGCUGAUCGGAGGUGCAGUGGGACGUUCGGCUCACUGGUAAGCUGCCGUUAUUUAUUUCAGCGAUGGAGAUGUACCGGAUCUGGGCGACGAUGGCGCUGGGCCUUCACCAGUGGCGGCUAGUGUUAUUGCCUGUUCAACAAUGCUUAACCGUCAGAGAGAAUAAUAGAGGAGAGGGGGUUCGAGCUGUGGGCGGUCACCGGUGGCGGCUGGUGAGUUCUAGAGAGAAGGAGGAGCGAUAGAGAGAGAAAGUGGAGGUGGUGUUCGGUUAAUUUGGUGGAAUGAAUCUAGGGUUAGGGUUUUGAUUUUUUAAAAGAAAAGAAAGAGAUCCUUUGAUCUCAUUGGAUCAGUUUUGAUCGACAACUAGAUUUAGAGGUUGAGGAAUUGGUCAAAAUUUAAAAAUAAUUUAAAAUUAAGUCUUAAAUUGGCUAUAAUUAUAAUAAAUUGGCUGAAAUUGUAGUGUCUUGGGUAAAAAAAAUGGACUAAAAUAUAAAUAAAUUAUGCAAAUUAAUUUAAAUUUAGAUUGUUAUUUAAAUAAUAGUAGGGAUAAUAAUAGUAAAUAAUAUAUAUAAAAAAAAUAAAUAAUACUAAUACAAAUAAUAAUAAUAAUAAUAAUAAAUGUUAUAAAAAAUGAUGUAUUUGAAAAUUGAGAGUAUGCUUAUUUAUGAAAAGAACUAUAAAAAAUUAUGUCGAGAGAUAUUAUAUUUAAAUUAAUGAAUGAUGCUGUAAGGUGGUAAAAUAAUUUAUAUAUUUUAAAAUCGUAAAUGGCCACGUCAAAAUCUUUUUAAUGCAAGAAAACUGUGUAAAAAUAUCAACAUUUAAAAAUGGUAAUUUUUGCUAAAACAACUGCCUAAAAUGGGCAUCGGGAGGUACAAAAUUAGGUAUCAACAAUCCUUCAAUUCUCUCGAGUUUAAAGAAUGCGUUAAUUUAUUCAAUUAUUCUCUCAUGUGGGUUGAUUCCGUUAAGGCAUCAACCCUUAACCCAAAGGUUAAAGCCCUUAGAUCCCUUAUAAACCUUUUCUUUUCCCAACAAACACUUUUCUAUUCAAUUAAGUGAGGUUCUUGGUCUCAUCCUUCAAGUAUGCAACCAAAAAAAGUCUAUUGUGAAGAAGGGUUUAUACAACUUAAGUUAACCAUGGAAAUCAAGUGAUUUCACAACCCCAAUCAGCUUUUCACAUCAAGGCUCCCAUAGCCCUAGUUAUAGGAGCUUAGUCACACAUCUCCAUAGAAGAAGAAGAAGAAGAAGAAGUCAUUAUGUUUCUCAUAAAUAAAUUUAGGAAUUACUUACAAAAAUCACAAGAUUUAAAAAAUAGGCAUAAAAUAAUUAGAUCCACAAUUCUAGGUUGAUUCUUAGAGAAUACUAUGUUACAAUAAUGUUCAAAGUUUGAAAUAUGGUCCAGAAUCCCUAAAUUUAAACCUAAACUGGGUAUUUUAUAUGUUCCCAAGUGUAGAAUAUUUUAAAUCUAAACUAAAAAAAAAUUGCAUCCAAGUUAGCGGUCAGGACGAUGGCCCGUCGGAAGCUUGACGGCCCGUCGAAUGAACCAUCGCAAUCGGUCCCAAAAUGGCAUCUUCUAUUAAGGGUCGACGGUUAGGUUGGUGGACCGUUGCUGGCCCGGUGGUCCGUCGCAGGAGCCAUCACCUGACCUGCUAAAAGUUCACGUUCUAUUUCAGCCUGACGGACAGUUUGGCGGCCCGUCGGGUGUUCGACGUUCCGCCACUUGGACUGUCGCAAAGAUCAUUCUUUUGUUUCUCUCUGUUUUACUCUGACGACCACCCUGGUGGUCCGUUACAUGGAUGACAGUUCGCCAGUUGGACUGUCAGUGCUCUUUUCCUGCUAUUUUUUUAAGUUUUUCCUCCUUCUAACUCUUUGAAUUGAAAACACUAAAAUUCAGUAUUAAAUACAACAUUUGUUGCUUGAAAACAUACAAUUAUCCCAUAAAAAAGAUGUAAAAUAUUUCAUUAAAAGACAAAACAUCAACACCCUCAAUGUAAGACAAUUGUUUGUCCUCAAGCAACUCAGCACCAAUUUGCAUAUAUGAACAAUACAAUGACAGACAAUAAACUAUUUAACUGGAUUUAACACAACCAUUCAUUUGCCAUCCCACUCUUAUGGGCUCAUCACAUCAGGAUCUAUAAUCGGCAUUGCUUCAAUACUUAGCACACACACAAAAUCAUGGAUAUCAUAUCCUACAGAGACCAGCAAAACUAAGUGUAACUCAAGUUACCCUCACAGCGAAUAAAUUCCACCACUCAUUGUAUCUUAUGGACACAAUCAAGACUCUCACACUCAACAAAGAAGUUACAAGCAUAACAUAUAUACCCAUAGGCUUGCCCUUAUCAUAUAUUUCUUCCUUAUGGUUGAUUCGCAAGGAUCAAGAAGGUCUUUUUCAGGCUUGUAAUGAGGCUCAGGGGUUAGGUGAUGACAAAUUUUUGUGAAAAGUGACUCAAAUUUCAGACUUAACUCUCUUUACCCUUGAAUUCUACUCACCAAGGCUACUGUUUUACCAGCUCACCUAUAAUCCAUAUUAUUCACUCACACUUUACCAUAUUUUCCCCUUUUUUCUCCUCUUUUAUAUAUAUAUAUAUAUAUAUAUAUAUAUAUAUAUAUAUAGAGAGAGAGAGAGAGAGAGAGAGAGAGAUUAAGCAUCAGCCACCCUCAACUUAUGCUAAUGCAGUUAUUUAAGGUGCACAAUACCUUGAAUAGAUCAGGGCCAAAUGUUUUAAACUAAUACUAAACCAACUUUUCGUUAGCCGGCUAACAUCUUGACAAUAGCCACCCUCAACUUAGGGGUUUUGCCUAAGUUAAGGUGCACAAUGUCUAAUAUUGGACCAGGGCCAGAGUUAGGUGUUAACAACCUAAAGAGGGUUAAUUAGAGUUAUUGGUGAUGAUGAAAACUAAUACAAGCUCAAAAAGGGUUCAAAAAUGGAAAAAAAAAAUUGGUGGGGUUAAAUUAUUUUGGCUAAAUGGAUUAAAUGUACAAGGAGGCCUGCUAUCCUAUCCUAUUGAAUCAACCACAAGACAACAUCAAUGAAUUGGGCAAGUUCUAGGUAUUACACUUAUGCAAUAACUAAUACAAAUAUUUGCACACACAGGCAAUUGAGUCAAACUCAUUCUACUGCUCUUAGGAUUUCUAUCACAUGAUUGUGCAUAUCUUACAUAUUAAUGCCAAUUACCUAAUCACUAAAGGUUACUCACAUAUGCUAAAUGACAAGAGUAAAUAAUCGUACAAACAUAUUCAUAGUCUUAUGCCAGUAUCAUUCAUCAUUCAUAUACACAACAAGAUGCUAAAAUAACAGACACUUUACUUUAUAAAUAAACAUUAACAAAUAGAUAUUUACAUCAUAACCUAAGAAAAGAAAAUGCAAUCCUAGACAUACAAGUUCUGCUAGAUAGAACAUGGGAGAAAAAAAACAUCGGCAACAAAAAAACCUACAUAAAAUAAAUGUGUUCUCCUUAAUGCAUAAAAUUAAAGUACAAAGAAUGGGAAAUACUUGUAAAGCCUCUUAUUUAGAUGAGGCAUCAGUGAAGUGUGGUGAGGCUCCAGUGGCCUCACCUGCAGCAAUGUUGACCCCUAUGGUGGUAGGGGAACUUACAAUCUCUUUCUCCAGAACUGGAGGUAUCGCAUCCCGAGCUGGGUCUGAACUAGGCCCCCUUGCUGGGGCAGAACUGGUAGAUACUCCAGCAGCUUCAUCUUCUGCCUUCUUUCUUCUUCUUUCUUCAUCUCUCCUUAACCCUUUCGCAGCUUUUCUUAUAUCAUAAUCUUCCUUCUCUUCCAGUGUCAUUGUCUCUCUUCUUCUUCUUCGGGAAGCUUUACUGUUCGUGUUUUUGCCUGCACUUUCAUCCACCUUCUUUUCUUUAUCUUUAAAUGGCUUUCUCAUCAAGUCGCUAAUACCUUCAUCAUCAUCGCUUAUCACCAAAGUGGGAUUAAAGACCGAAUAUUGUGACUGUUUGUUCUUUAACUUUACUAUGUCCGCCUGUUCUUGUUUAAAUUCUUCCAUAAACUUUGCAAAAUCUGGAAUGGAUAUCGCAUCCAGCCUUUUGUUGAUUCUCUAUUCCAUGUGAUCCAUUAAAGCUGAAUGUGUUGAAAUGGAUGGGUUACUUCAGCCACAAUUUGAUCAACAAACGGCUUAAAUUUUAAAGCCCAUGUGUCUAGCUAUUUCUUAAACUUCUUUUGCAGCUUAACCGACUUGGUAAAAUUUUCCUGCAUUAACCUGUACUCCGAAUAAUCUGUCCCACCCAUUGGUGGCAUAGACUCCAAUCCUACAGAUAUACUAGAUGGUACAUAAGUAGUGAUAGGUAAUGGAAUACCUGUUGGAAUGUCGAAAGUAUCGGGGGCUAGCGCUGACUGCGUUUGAUAGGCUGGAGGUUUAGUGAAUUAUAUCUCAAACUUUGAGUCAUCCUUUGAUUUCUUAAUUUCUUGCCUAUAUGUAGCCCGAACUGUAUUAUCAACUCCUCGAAUUAGUGGCACAUUAGCCUGUCUGCAUAGCUCCAUGAUAAAACACGGGAAUGGUAGUGCACUUUCCACCCUGUGUGCCCUCACGAACAUCUCAUCAGCAAUGAUUUAGACAAAAUUAAUCUUCAUCCCUGCAAUCAAACUAGCCACCAGUAUAUCCCUGUGGCUAUCCAAAUUAGCAUCCCCACCUGUUGGCAUCAAUCUUAACCAAAUAAUGGCCCACCAGAACUUAGCUUGGAAGCUAAGGGAGGACUUAGCAAUGCGCUCUCAAGGGUUUGCUGUCCAGGCGGGGUUGCAAUCAUCAGUCAGUAACCCAUACAACCACAGCUUCUGAGUCGAUACUGAAGUCAGACAAAACUCAAGAUUAGGAACAGCAGUCGGUGCCUCAUAGUCGUGUCCAAAUAUCAUUUUGUUGAUUGUUCUAACCGAUAUAUCAAUGUUAACCCCUCUUACUGGUACUGACUCUCUGUUUGAUAAGUCUGAAAUCUUCGUGCCCUUAGGAUAAUCUUUUUCUACCAAUGCCAAGUAAUUAGAAAUGAACUCUCUUACCAUAUUUGGUUGAUAAGAACCAAGAGGUUUGCUUAUCUAGGUCAACUCAUACUCAUUGAAAUGCCGCUCCAGUUCUGGAUAUUCGUGCAACUCACUUGUCACAAUCUGGUACUCCUCAGAGAUUGGCCUUUUGAUUGGCCUACUCGCUGUCGGUUCCAAUCCAUCAAGGAACUUAUCUUUUGACCUCUCAAUUUCCACCUGAGUGCCUCCCUCAUUUAAGGUUCUUUGAUCUUAACCACAGUUUCCUUCUCGAUUUCUGUCUCAGCAUUGCCAGUUUUUGCCUCUGCGGGGUUGGGGUUAGAUAUGUUAACCCCUUCCUCGUCUGGGCUCUAACUAGUACUACUAGUGCUGAUCUCACUCUCUUCUUCAAAUUGGGAGAGUGUGGAGAUUUCCCUAUCUUGUUGUUUGGUGUUGAAGGCAAGAUCUUCUUCACUCCUGGACGACUCACCUCUUCCUUGUGCUCUACCACCACCUCUAGUCAAAAGAAGUUUAAGUGCCAUAAUGCCUGAAAAAGGAACAAGGCAUCAGUUUGCAGGUCAAAAUAGAUCGAAAAUAGUGAACAUAUGACUUGACGGUUACUCAGACAGCCCAUCGAUGAUGCGAUGGUCCGCCGGACUGGCCAUCAAGAAUUAACCAGUAUGUUCUGAUUUUUCAGAGCCUUGUGACGGUCGAACUGGUGGUCCGUCAAGUUAUUGACGGUCUGUCAAGUUGUUCGUCGCACCUUUCCAGUGAACAUCAAUAUUAGCAUCCAUGUGACAGUCUACUCGGUGGUGCAUCACAGGAGCGACGGUCCACCAAGGUGACCGUCAGAAACCCUUUUCAGUUCAAGACUUCACUUUGGCAUUUUUUCGAACACCUGGUAUGCAUUCUUACAUUCUUGACGCAAUCAAUGGCAUGAACUUGGUGUUUAAGCACAAUUUUUCUUCCACUUUCAAUACAUGGGUUACUCAGACUUCACCCAGCGCAAUGCAUACCAUGGGUUUGAUUUUUAGAUUACAAUCAGAACAAAAUAAGAAGAAGAUAAAAUUUUCCUCCCACAGACAAUAAUUCACUUACUUAAUGUUGAACAAUUUAAAUAACAAAGACAAAGGUUGUGAUCAUACCUUGAUGGUACAAUAACUUCACUCUACUUACUUGCAACUUCAGAAAAUAAAUAAAAAGUUAAGGCCUUUGUUAGUGAUUGAUACUUUUGUUGUUAUGAGAAGAAGGGGGGAAGGUCCUGUUUAAAUAGGAAAGAAAAAUAAUAGGGAGAGUCCUAAAGGGGAAUAACUGACUCUAGAUACUUUGAACACAAAGGAAGUUAAGCAGUUCUAGGAUUUGAAAAGGUAGCAACGUAUGUAACCACCUCUUCUUUUCAGUUUAAAGACAUUUGGGUUGGUUUCAUGCAAUUUAAAUAGUAUUUAAAAUCAUCCCGACCCAACCCGUGCUUAGGGUUGCAUUGACGAUCUACUUGACAGUCCGUAAGGUGUUCGACGGUCCGUCUGGUUGGCCAUCGAAGCUUACCAGAAUCUAGUAACUUAUACCUUGCUGCAAUGGCUUAUGCGAUGGUCCGUCAACCUACCCGUCAGUCUGUUCUAAUGACCUCGAGUUUCCAUCUCUGUUUGACGGAGGGAGUGAUGGUCCGUUGGGCUAGCGAAGGUCCACCGGCUUGGCCAUCAAGCCUUAUCCAGAAUGAUCAUUUUUUAUCAUGGCUUUGACGGUCUUAAUGAUGGUCCAUCGGGACCUUGACAGUCAGUCGGUCUUCCCGUCAACCCCUUUUCAACUAUAGAACUCCUUUCUUUCUGCAUUUUCAAUCCUGCAAACUUCACAAAUACAUCAAAUUGCACAAGAACAACAAAUAAAUUCUAACAAUGAUUACAACAACACUUUAUGGGUUACCUCCUACUAGCGCCUCAUUUAAUUCCACGGCAUGACUCAGUUAUCUCGAUUACUCAGACUUCAUCGAGAUAGAUGGUAGCUAUACACCUUAUCGAGUCCAUUGGACCGAUAUACAACUUCACUCAUUGCCCGUUAACUUUGAAGACACUUCCGUCCUUAUUUUCAAGUUCAACUACUCCAGAUGAGUAGACUUGGUUAACUUUGAAUGGACCAGACCAUUUUGAUUUAAGUUUACCUCAAAACAGCUUCAAUCUAGAGUUGAAGAGUAGUACCCAAUCACCUUUAUGAAAGUCUCGCUUUGCAAUCCUCCGGUCAUGGUACCUCUUCAUCUUCUCCUUGUAUAGGUUUGCUCUUUCAUAUGCUCCAAGAUGAAACUCAUCCAUCUCAUUUAGAUGACCCAAUCUCAACUUUGUUACCUCAUUCCAGUUCAAGUUCAGCUUCCUAAGUGCCCACAGCGCCUUAUGCUCUAAUUUAAUCGGCAAAUGGCAUGCCUUGCCAUAAACCAAUUGGUACGAUGACAUGCUGAUAGGUGUAUUGAAAGUUGUUCUAUCUGCCCACAAGGCAUCAUCAAGCUUCCUAGACCAAUCUUGUCUACUUGCAUUCACCGUUUGACCAAGAAUGGCUUUGAUCUCUCUAUUUGAAAUCUCUACUUUCCCUCUAGUUUGUGGGAGGUAUGGAGUUUCCACCUUAUGCUACUUAACACCGUACAUCGCCAAGGCAGGCCUAAAUACUCGAUUACAAAAAUAUGAUCCCCCGUUGCUUAUGAUGGUUGUGGCACCCCAAAACGAGAGAAUAUAUUCCUUUUAAGGAAUGCAACAACUAUUUUUCCUUCAUUAUCGGCCAAGGCAACAGCCUCAACCCAUUUAGAUACAUAAUCAAAGGCAACCAGAAUAUAUUUCAUCCCAUAUGAGCUCACGAAGGGUCCCAUGAAGUCGAUGCUCUAGAUGUCAAACAACUCCACUUCCAUCCUUUUUGUCAAAGGCAUAUCAUGGUGCUUUGAGAUUGACCCUUGUCUUUGGCAUUGGUCAUAUCUCCGAACGAACUCAUGAGCAUCUUUGAAUAAAGUCGGCCAAUAGUAACCACUUUGCAAUACUUUCCUAGCAGUUUGGUCACCUACAAAGUGACCCCCAAUCGGAGAAGCAUGACAAGCUUCCAAAAUAUUCAGCAUGUCCACUUCUUGGAUACACUUCUUUAUAAUAUUAUCUGCACAAUGCUGAAAUAAUACGGCUCAUCCCAGAAGUAGUGUGUAAUAUCGUGAAGAAAUAUUUUUUUUUGGUAAAAAAAAUAUUCUCUGGAAUAUCUCCCUCACCACAUAGUUUGCAAAGUCUGCAUACCACAACACUGUCUCUAACACAGCAACCAAGAUUUACUCGUAUGGAAAUGCAUCAUCAAUUUAUAGCUCAUCCUUGGGUGCUUAACCUCCCUCCUGUCUGGACAAGUGGUCUGCGACUUGAUUCUCGCAUCCCUUCCUAUCUUUGACUUCAAAGUCAAAUUCUUGGAGAAGCAAUACCCAUCUGAUUAAUCUCGGCGUAGCAUCAUUUGGCCAUCAAAUAUCUCAAGGCGGCGUGGUCUGUGUGAACCACCACCUUGAUUGCCAAUAGGUAAGCCCAGAACUUCUCAAAGGCAUAGACAACUGCAAGGAGUUCCUAUUCGGUAACAAUGUAGUUCUUUUGAGCUCCAUUUAAGGCCUUGCUUGCAUAAUAAAUGGGAUGAAACAACUUAUCCAUAUUUUGGCCAAGUACAACCCCAAGCGCCACUCCGCUUGCAUCGCACAUAAUCUCAAAUGGAUUUGACCAAUCUGGAGCAAUGAUAAUAGGAGCAUCAACCAAUUUCCCUUUAAGGCAUUUAAAUGCCUUCAAGAAUUUGCCAUAAAAUAUAAACUUGGCCUCCUUCUACAAAACUUUGAAAUGUAGGUUUGAAAUUUUUGAGAAGUCUUUUAUGAAUUGCCGAUAGAAAACCGCAUGACCAAGAAAACUACUCACUCUCUUUACUGAAAUAGGAGGUAGUAGCUUCUCAAUAACCUCGACCUUAGCUCGGUCGACUUCAAUCCCCUUGGCAGAAAUUUUGUGACCAAGGACAAUACCCUCUUUCACCAUGAAGUGGCAUUUCUCCCAAUUAAGCACUAGAUUAAACUACCCGUACCGCUGCAAAGCUCUACUCAGAUUCACCAAACAAAGCUCAAAAGAAUCACCUACUACUGAGAAGUCAUCCAUAAACACCUCCAAGGUGUCUUCAACCAUAUCAGAAAAGAUAGAUAUUAUGCACCGUUGAAAGGUAGCGGGUGCAUUACACAAACCAAACGGCAUCCGUUUAAAAAAAAAAUACCAUACGGGCAAGUAAAGGUCAUCUUCUCCUGAUCCUCUAGGCUACAGAGAUCUGGUUAUAGCCCGAAUAUCCAUCCAAGAAAUAAUACCAACCUCUUCCCACAAACUGGUCAAGUAUUUGGUCCAUAAAAGAUAUUAGAAAGUGGUCCUUUAAAGUCCAUGAGUUGAGCUUACGAUAGUCCAUGCAAACUCUCUACCCAGUCACAGGUCUAAGAAGGAUCAACUCAUUUUUCUCGUUCGCUACCACAGUCAUGCCCCCCAAACUUGGAAACGCAUUUGACAAGACUUACCCAUUUACUAUCAGAAAUGAGGUAUACAACUUCUACAUCAAGCCAUUUGAUGAUUUCCUUCUUAACCACCUCUUGCAUAGGUGGGUUAAUAUGGCAUUGAUGCUUAAUGGUAGGAGUGCAAUCUUCCUCAAGCUGAAUUUUAUGCAAGCAAAUACCUGGAAGAAUGCUAAUAAUAUCCAUAAUAGUCCAUCCUAUCACCCUUUUGUACCUCUAGAGCACUGAGAUAAGUGCCUCUACUUGUUGUUCCCCCAUAUCUUCUGCAAUAAUCACAGGUAAAGUGUUUCCAUUGCCUAUAAACACAUAUCGUAGAUGGCCUAACAAUUCUUUCAACUCCAACACUGGUGGCUCUUCAAUAGAUGGCUUUGCCGGUAGUGUUGGGUGAUUUUUAAGAUCUAGAUCCAGCUUCUUAGAAGCAUAAGAGUAUGACCCCAUUCUAGUCAAGGCACACACAGUCUCCCCAUACUCUUUAAUGCCUUUGCUAUCGAAAUUCAUCAAGACUGUAGCCAAAGGCUCAACAGUAAAUUUAUCCUCUAUUGUCACUUCUUGAUCAUCCUCAUGAUAAACAUCAACAAUAGAUAACAUACUCAUUUCCUUAUGCUGCUUCAUAGAUUGAUACACAUCAAGCUGAACUACUUCAUUACUAAGCCUGAAUAAGAGCUCAUUAGCUCACAAGUCAAUAAGUACGCUUCCAGUUGGAAGAAAAGGUCGACCAAGAUUAUGGACACCUCUAAGUCCACCUCACAAUCCAGAAUAACAAAAUCUGCAGAGAAUAUAAAGUUGGCCACAUUCACUAGCAUAUCAUAUAAAAUACCCACUGGCCACUUUAUCGACCUGUCCACCAUCACUAGUCGCAUGUUUGUGGGUAUAAGAUCCCCCAAACCUAACUUUUUAUAAACAGCAAGCAGUAUCAGGUUAAUACUCGCUCCUAGAUUAUACAAGGCCUUAGCAAAAUCAAGAGACCCAAUAGUACAAGGAAUAGUGAAUGCUCCUGGGUUUGCUUUUUUUUGCACCAAAGACCUUAUUGAAAUAGCGCCACAGUGGUAAAGGUUUUCCACCGGUUCAUAGAUCACUUUUCUCUUCUUUAUCACUAAGUCUUUCAUAAACAUAGCAUACCUAGGCAUCUACUCUAAUGCCUCCACUAAAGGCACAUUCACUGUCAGCUGCUUCAGUAUCGCCAUGAAUUUACUAAACCUUGUAUCAUCAGCUUUCUUCUUCAAUCUAUAAGGAAAGGGAGGCGGUGGUUUUGGGAAAAUGGUAACCACUGCUUUCUUCUUCUUUUCUUUUUCUUCCUCUAACUCAUCAACCUACUGAUGGUUAGAUGUGCUCGCAUUACCAUCCAUCUUUUCAGACUCCACUAGAUGGGUUUCAUCAACUUCUACCUCUCCAUCGAUCAUAUCAUUGAUCACAGCCUUGCCUACAGAAGGGCCAGGUAAUAUUUUACCACUCCGAGUGGUAACUUCCAUGUAAGAGCUAUCGUUAUGAGGGUUCUACACUGUAUCGCAAGGCAAGGCACCAAUUUUUCUCUGAUUAAAUAAUGUCGAGAGUUAGAUCAUCUGCUGCUCCAACUACUUAAUAUAAGUUGAGUGCAAAUUUACUAGCUGGCUCAUAAAAGAUAAGUCACUCUUCAUCAUCUUCACUCUAGCAUUGGUAGCCUCAACUCCCUUUAAUAGUUUCUCCAACAUAUCCUCCAUGGAUAUCUUGCCUGAACUGGUAGCUGCAUUGUCCCGGUUUCCAAAAAGUACAUACAGUCCACACUUGUUAUUUUGGUUCUUCCAACUCCUUUGGUCCCUAUCUUUGUAACCAGCCUUAUUGUUAUAGUUUCGACCUUGAUUCCCUUGGAUAUUGCCUUACGAACCCCCUGAUUAUUUAGAUAGUUCACCUCCUCCUUAGAAUCAAGAUCAACUCUGCCUUGCGACCCAAUAACUUUUACCUUCUCAGUCUUCCCAGAUAAUAAGUAUUUAGUAAGCAGAUCUAUCUGUGUUUUCAUGUGUACCAUACCUUGGUCACACUCCUCAUAUUUCUGAAAUUGUUCCACUGACAUACCAUAAGACAUAGUAGGGCUUGCUACCACAGAAUCCCUGGUGUGCCAAGAUCUACUUAUCUUAGUCAACCGCUCCAAUAUAUCUGCAGCCUCAUUGAAUGUAAGCUCCAUGAAUACUCCUCUUGCUGUAUUGUCAACUGUUGGUUUAGUUAUAAAGUUCAGGGCUCUAUAGAAAGUCACCAUUAAAUGCUUGUCAGUCAUCUUGUUGUUGCGGCACUAUGUCAACUUUUUCUUGAAUCGCAUCCAAGUCUAAUGUAGUGCCUCAUUUGGUAAUUGUCUGAAGUUGCUGAUUUUAUCCCUCAACUGUAACAUCCUGGAGGGUGGAAAGAACCUUUCUAGGAAAUCUCCUUUCAAUUGCCUCCAAUUUUUAUAGAAUCAUGGGAAAACUCAUUCAACCACAUUGUUGCCUCCCCAGACAGAGACAGCGGAAACAAUCGAAGAUGAAUUACAUUUUGACCAACACCAAGGGUAUCAAAGGAUUUGCAAAUAUUGAUAAAAUUCACCAAGUGCAAGUUUGGUCAUCCCCUGGAAUUACUACAAACAACCCCUUAAGAUUAAGUAGUUGUAUCAUGGUGCUGGUUAUGUUGAACUUAACCCCAAGUAUCAGUGGAGGUGGAAUAAUCUUUUCUAUAGCACCAGCUUUAUCCAAGUCGUCCUUCUCCUCAUCAAGAUCAAAUUGCACAGCAUGUUGGUGGUUUGAUCUCCCUCAAGCUGCCCGGCUUCUAUUGGCAACCACCUCUACAUUCUCUGUACGCCUCCUAUUUGCUGGGUUAAUCAGAUCAUCAUCUCCUCAAUCUUUAUUAUCAGGAUUAUGGUCAUGAGCUGGUUAUCCAUUAUUUUGCAGAUUAACCUGUGCUCUAGCCAAGUUGGCUAGUCUCUCAGCUUCUUGUUAUUCUUCUAUUCUACCAAUUAGAUGCGGUUCAGGAUUGAAGAGUAAUAGCGGUUCUCCCAAACUUCUGGCACGCGGCAUAAUCAACAAUGAACCUGUAAUGAACCAAAAAAUACAAAUAAAAGUAAAAUUUAUGAAACUUGACCAAUGGUCAAUUAACAAUCACAAACUUAAUUGACAGUCGUAAUCCCCGGCAACAACGCCAAAAUUUGAUAGGCCCAAAUUACAGCUCUCUUACAAGAGAGUAAGCAAUCAUUGUUAAAAAUAUAACCCAACUAGGUCGGGGUCUAAUCUCAUAGGGAAUACUAUGUUCACUAAGUAUUGUGGUUAUUACUAGACUGUUGAUUAAAGGUUCCAAAUUAAAGAGGGUUUUGGUUUGUAAGUUUUAUCUUGUUAUUUGUAACAGAAAGUGUUUCUAUUAGUGAUUCUUAUUGCAAAUAUUAAUUCAAUGAGAGUAUACAACUAGAGUUACGGUUACCAAGAUGUACAGGCAUCUAGGGUUGUGAAUUAUUAUGAAUCUCUACUUAAUCACUUCAAUUGCAAGAGUUAUUGAAUCCUAUAAUCUACCUAUUUGUCUCUUAACCUAAAUGAUUAGAUUAUCGUUCAAUUCUCUUGAGCUUAAAGAAUGCAUUAAUUUUUCAAUUAUUCUCUCAUGUGGGUUGAUCCCGUUAAGGCAUCAACCCUUAACCCAAAGUUAAAUCCCUUAGAUCCCUUGUAAACCUAUUCUUUUCCUAACAAGCACUUUUCUAUUCAAACAAGUGAUGUUCUUGGGCUCACCCUUCAAGUUUGCAACCAAGAAAGGUCAUUAUUAUGAAGAAAGGUUUAUACAACUUCAGUUAACCAUGGAAAUCAAGUGUUUUCAGAACCCCAAUCAGCUUUUCACAUUAAGGCUCUCAUAACCCUAGUUAUGGAAGCUUAGCCACACAUCUCUAUAGAAGAAGAAGAAGAAGAAGAAGAAGAAGAAGAGUCAUUAUGUUUCUCAUAAAUAAAUUUAGGAAUUACUUACAAAAAUUACAUGAUUUGUUCUCAAAUCUUCAAAAGAAAAUAGGCAUAAAAUGAUUAGAUCCACAAUUCUAUCUUGAUUCUCAGAGAAUACUAUGUUACAAUUAUGUUCAAAGUCGGAAAUAUGGUCUAGAAUCCCUAAAUUAAACCUAAAUUGGGUAUUUUAUAUGUUCCCAGGUGUAGAGUAUAAAAAAUUUAAACUCAGAAAAAGCCGCGUCCAAGUUGACGGUCAGGACAAUGGCUCCUCGAAAGCUUGACGGUCCGUUGAAUGGACCGUCAUGAUCGGUACCAAAAUGGCAUCUUCUAUUAAGGGUCAACAAUUAGGUUGGUGGACCUUCACUAGCCUGGUGGUCUAUCACAUAAGCCGUCACUAGAUCAUCUGAAAGAUCAUAUUUUGUUUUAACCCGACGGCUAAUUUGGCGGCCCGUCGGAUGUUCGAUGGUCCACUACUUGGACCGUUGCAGAGAUCAGUCUUUUGGUCCUCUCUAUUUUACUCUGAUAACAACCCUGGCAGUCCGUCGCAUGGCUGACGAUCCGCCAAUUGGACCGUCAGUGCCCUUUUCCUGCUUUUUCCCAAGUUUUUCCUCUUGCUAACUCUUUGACCUAAAAACACUAAAAUCAAGUAUUAAAUACAUCUGGUGCUUUAAAACAUACAAUUAUCCCAUGAAAAAGAUGUAAAAUGUUCCGUCAAAAUCCGAAACAUCAAGGUUCCAUUAUUAUAUUCACUUGGGUGAUUCUCGUGAACCCACAAGGUUUUAAAUCAAAGCCAUAGCCACUAAGGCCUUGCCAUUUAUCCAUUAAAACCAUUUUAAAAUUUAGGUUCCAUUACCAUGUUAUACCAUGCAAUGUUUUCAAUAAAAGUUCAACUAUGUAUUUAAAGCAUUCUCAUAGGCAUUUUAAUAUACACGUUGAGGGCAUAUAGUUUCCAAAAUAAAAACCAAGUACCAAUUGACCAUUCCCAUGAAGCCACAUGUUCAAACCACAAUUAUAAUAUGAAAACCAUAAGUAAAAACAUUGAAAAACAUAAAUCAACCAUUAAUAACCAAAACCCCAACAUAUAAUUAAAAACCAAAUAAUACCCAUAAUUAAAUCAUGAAAACCAUUCAUUAAAACAUGAAUUUAGUUGAACUAAUAAUGAGGGAGGAGUAAAAUGCCUUAGAUACCAAAGAAGAUGGAGCGAAAUCACCCUUGAAAGCCCCAAUUGAUAUGCUUGAUGAAAACCCUAAGUGUUCUUGACCUUGAGGAUUUGAGAGUAUUUGGGAGUCUAUUUGAUGUGUUUUUGAUAGUUCGUGAUGCCCUAAAAAGGUUAUAAGAUAUGGGUUUUAAGUUGGUCAAAAGUGGAAAUAUCGAGAAUAUCGUCAACUUAAAAGUUAAAAAAUGCACGUAGGAGUGUUUGACUCCCCCUAACUCAUACACAAUCAUACGAGUGGUACACACUAGACAUACCCUAGACAGAAUGUUGGACUUCAACACUAUCCAAUGUAUGACCCCCAAGGAUCAACUCAUACUAAAUCAUACAAUAAGUACCCAUAACCCGUACCCUAAGCAGAAUACUCUAGGCUAGACAUAUUGAGCAACAUAUGAGUGGCUUACCUAAUUCGUACCAUCUCCAUAUGAGUCUUAUGAUUCCCUUUCAUAACUUAGAAAAAAUGGACACCAGAGCAUACUAAUUAUUAUAUGAGUUAAGGACCCUAAACCAUACAACAUCAUACAACAAGUACCCACAAGUGGUAUGAUGUCCAAAAGCUCAAACUCAAGAAAUUUUUUAGGGAUCAAAACCCAGGGUAUUUUAGAUUACUGGAUAUUAUAUUUGAAGAAGGUGAAGAUGUUGAGUACUAAUGACAAGAUAAUGCACUACAAAUGGCUGGUGUGUCAUAUUACAAAAGCUACAAAAGUAGCAGAAUGGGGAAAAAGGAUAGCCAUUUACAAACAUACAUUGAGUUUCACUACUAAGGCUUGGUGGUCCAUUGUUCAUUACCACAUAGUACCCAUAAAAGAUGAUAAGGCACUGAGUGCUAACAAUAAAGGGAUGGACAAGUGUAAUACCCCAAACUUUUCCUUAAGCCUAAUUUCAUCUCUAGAAGGUUAAGAAAUGACUUCCUAAGUGAGUAACAUUUCAACCAUAUAGAUUUUCCCUAAUUUUGACUUUUUAUCAUGUGAGAAAUUUAAUUAGCUUUCCAAUGAUAUAAGAUCCACCCAAAUCCAAUGACCGGGCAAGAAGUUAUGGCUAAUUUAAGUUCUAGUCAUAAGACACCAUCAUUUUAGUGUUUGGCGCGUCAUGUAGAGGGUCUAUUUAACAAUUUUCAAAUACCAGUGGAACUUUACGAUAGUGGCACGUCGCGGAGGACCCUAAUUUCCCAAUAGUCAAUUUUCAGUAGCCCAACGCGAUUGUGACACGUCGCGCUGAAGUUCCAGGUCCUAACCAGUGGGACAACACAAUGGCUUCACAUCGUGGUGACUCCCAGAUUCCCAUUUGUCAAUUUCCAGUAAGCCACCAUGAUAG
Molecule: long non-coding RNA, 17801 nt
Filed under: Capsicum annuum
Lineage: Eukaryota; Viridiplantae; Streptophyta; Magnoliopsida; Solanales; Solanaceae
Description: long non-coding RNA (CANN_LNC005223)
Source: RNAcentral